This 482-nucleotide ribosomal RNA is filed under the name uncultured bacterium. RNAcentral's name for it is "bacterial SSU rRNA". It matches the Rfam family "Bacterial small subunit ribosomal RNA", at positions 30 to 507 of the family's 1533-position model. The record is from RNAcentral.
AUUGAACGCUGGCGGCAUGCCUUACACAUGCAAGUCGAACGGCAGCACGGGGCAACCUGGUGGCGAGUGGCGAACGGGUGAGUAAUGUAUCGGAACGUACCAUUCAGUGGGGGAUAACGUAGCGAAAGUUACGCUAAUACCGCAUAUUCUGUGAGCAGGAAAGCAGGGGAUCGCAAGACCUUGCGCUGAUUGAGCGGCCGAUAUCAGAUUAGCUAGUUGGUGAGGUAAAGGCUCACCAAGGCGACGAUCUGUAGCGGGUCUGAGAGGAUGAUCCGCCACACUGGAACUGAGACACGGUCCAGACUCCUACGGGAGGCAGCAGUGGGGAAUUUUGGACAAUGGGGGCAACCCUGAUCCAGCCAUGCCGCGUGAGUGAAGAAGGCCUUCGGGUUGUAAAGCUCUUUCGGCCGGGAAGAAAUCGUAUGGGUUAAUACCCUGUGCGGAUGACGGUACCGGCAUAAGAAGCACCGGCUAACUACGUG